CUCUAGCCGUCUUUUUGCAGAAAGUUAAGGUACUGCGAAAAAGAGAUGGAGAUGGAGCAGCUGCUAAGCAUGGGUUUUCCAAGCGAAUUGGCUGCCCAAGCUCUGGCGGCGANNNNNNNNCAAAGCUACCGAGUGGAUUCUCUCCCAUAAAUCUUGUGACGCUAAUCCCAAGCCACCCUCAAACCCAACCCCUUCUUCGCUCCAGCCAAAGUUAGACCGCUUCUUCCACUUGCAAUCGAAACCCAACUCCUCCUCCAGUUCCCCUUGCACCCCACCACCCACUGAUCAAGCAGAGGAUGAACCCAUCCCUCUUUGUUCUAAGCGGCCCAAAUUAUUGGCAUCAUCAGCCACUAAUUCGUGCUCUCCCGCUAUCCACCACAGCAAGCACCAUCCUCCCCAUGAGCCCUUAUCAGAACGAAUGCGCCCUCGCUCCAUUGACGACGUCGUCGGCCAAGAUCACCUUCUGGCCCAGAACUCUAUCCUCCGCUCCGCCAUAGAUUACAAUCGCCUCC
This 512-nucleotide unclassified non-coding RNA is filed under the name Hevea brasiliensis (rubber tree). Lineage: Eukaryota; Viridiplantae; Streptophyta; Magnoliopsida; Malpighiales; Euphorbiaceae. The record is from RNAcentral.